AGUCGCGUGGUCUAAUGGUUAUGAUUUCUCGUUCACAUUGAUGUGUUCAAUAGCCCCGAGAAGGUUCCGUGUUCGAUCCACGGCGUGACUA
Molecule: transfer RNA, 91 nt
Filed under: Daldinia vernicosa
Lineage: Eukaryota; Fungi; Ascomycota; Sordariomycetes; Xylariales; Hypoxylaceae
Description: tRNA-Val
Source: RNAcentral